GAUGAACGCUGGCGGCGUGCUUAACACAUGCAAGUCGAACGGAAGGGCCCAAGCUUGCUUGGGUACUCGAGUGGCGAACGGGUGAGUAACACGUGGGUGAUCUGCCCUGCACUUCGGGAUAAGCCUGGGAAACUGGGUCUAAUACCGGAUAGGACCACUUCUUGGAUGUUGUGGUGGAAAGUUUUUUCGGUGUGGGAUGAGCUCGCGGCCUAUCAGCUUGUUGGUGGGGUAAUGGCCUACCAAGGCGUCGACGGGUAGCCGGCCUGAGAGGGUGUACGGCCACAUUGGGACUGAGAUACGGCCCAGACUCCUACGGGAGGCAGCAGUGGGGAAUAUUGCACAAUGGGCGCAAGCCUGAUGCAGCGACGCCGCGUGGGGGAUGACGGCCUUCGGGUUGUAAACUCCUUUCGCUAGGGACGAAGCGUUUUGUGACGGUACCUGGAGAAGAAGCACCGGCUAACUACGUG
This 467-nucleotide ribosomal RNA is filed under the name uncultured bacterium. RNAcentral's name for it is "partial 16S ribosomal RNA". It matches the Rfam family "Bacterial small subunit ribosomal RNA", at positions 28 to 507 of the family's 1533-position model. The record is from RNAcentral.